UACGAAGGGGGCUAGCGUUGUUCGGAAUUACUGGGCGUAAAGCGCACGUAGGCGGACUAUUAAGUCAGGGGUGAAAUCCCGGGGCUCAACCCCGGAACUGCCUUUGAUACUGGUAGUCUCGAGUCCGGAAGAGGUGAGUGGAAUUCCGAGUGUAGAGGUGAAAUUCGUAGAUAUUCGGAGGAACACCAGUGGCGAAGGCGGCUCACUGGUCCGGUACUGACGCUGAGGUGCGAAAGCGUGAGGAGCAAACAGG
Molecule: ribosomal RNA, 253 nt
Filed under: uncultured bacterium
Lineage: Bacteria
Description: partial 16S ribosomal RNA
Rfam family: Bacterial small subunit ribosomal RNA
Source: RNAcentral